GUAAAAAAUCUCUCGGGACGGACCAAGUCACAAUUCCCAAUAGUGUUGUACCCCAUGCCCGUUAUCCGGCGUGCAAGUCACCUCAAUAUAGCGUUACAAUGUGAAAUUCCGGGGUUUCAAACCCUCAGGACAUCAUUUACAUCAAUUACUCACCUCAAGACGGCCAAAAGUCUAGCUCGCUAUACCCUUGCCUCUCGAAUUGGCCUCUUCGUGCGUCGAAUCUAUCCAAAAUCAGAACGAAUAUGUCACAUUAUGCUGUAGGAACAAUACCCAAUCGAAAAUAACUGAAAAACAUCAAAAUCCCAAAAUUUGGCAAAACCCGAGCCCCGGACCCACUUCUCGAAAUUCAGAAAAAUUAACAUCAACGGAUUCUUAUCUCGCCACGAGUCUAUACAUAUAAAAUUUACCAAAAUCGGACAUCAACUCGACCCUCAAAUCUUCAAAUCUUAUUUUCAAAUCCCUAAGCCUAAAUCCCCAAUUUACUCCUCAAAAACAUGUAAUCUAGUCGGAUUAUUCUAUGAUAAUUCAAUAUUAUGGAGUAGAAAUAAUCACAAGUGACUUACCUCAAGAUUUCUCAUGAUUUCUUGCUCAAAAAUCGCCCCAAGCCGUGUUCU
RNAcentral lists this long non-coding RNA (614 nucleotides) under Nicotiana tabacum (common tobacco). RNAcentral describes it as "long non-coding RNA (NTAB_LNC019527)". Lineage: Eukaryota; Viridiplantae; Streptophyta; Magnoliopsida; Solanales; Solanaceae. The record is from RNAcentral.